Molecule: long non-coding RNA, 1360 nt
Filed under: Cyanistes caeruleus (blue tit)
Lineage: Eukaryota; Metazoa; Chordata; Aves; Passeriformes; Paridae
Description: lncRNA (ENSCCEG00000000927.1)
Source: RNAcentral
AACACUUCUACUUUCACAAGCCUGAAUAAAAGAAUGAAGAAUUAAGUGUUGUUUCCAAACUUUAGAGGAAUAUGAAUUGGGGGAAAAGCUUUGUGAUGGCUCUUCUUUCACACAGAUGUUUCUCUUGGGCUUAGUUCAAAAGGAAGUAUUUGUUUAGCUUUCCAAAUUUGUCCACUAAUCUCUGUUUCAGAGGAAAGCUAUCCAGCCCCUCACAAGGAGAAGGCCACAUCUGAGGAAGCCAGCUCAGGACAGGACUGAAGUGCUUUACCUGGAUGAUUCAGAGCAGCUGCAUUGCACUGGAGUAGGCAUUCAGUCAAUUCCUCUCCUGGGCCAAGAGCUGCUCCUUUUUCAUGCUCUUUGAAGAAUUAUAACACUGUCAGCAAGCUAAUACAAUAUCAAAGUGCCACUGAUGGAUUUGGAGGCCCCAUCUCCUCAACUACAACUACAGGAUGCAUCCCGGGUCAGAUCCUUCAGGUGGUUUCUUAGAAUAAGGUUGAGACUGUUCUCAUCAGCCUCUGGAGCUCCUGAAGGAGAAACUCCCAGUGCGCGUUACAGACCCAGCUUUGAACACAGGUGAUGUAGGCACUCUCUGCAGAAGUAGAGUCUACUGGAACAAGCAGUGGAUCAUCCUUGUUCCAUGAGGUAGAAGAAACAUCUUUGUUCACAGAAGGAUCAUUUUUCACAAAAUGUACAAGGAUCAGUUACAACAGCCAUAUCUUCCUGUUCCCCAUCUCUCUCCUCCAUGGAGGAGGAGAAGAAGGGGCCAUGAGCAUGAAAGUUUGGAUAACCCUCUUUUUAGAGGAACUUUAUGGGUAAACAAAUAUAUCCAAAUGAACAACAAAGCAUAGAAAUUUCCCCAGGAGCCCAAAAUGUUGCCUAGAAAAAGUUUGCAAUGAAUUAUUACUAUUAUUUUUAAUUUAAACUGUGCCAUGCAGGUUCAUAAUUUUUAAUAUAGUGGUGUUAAUGAAGUCAUGAAAGUUUAAAUAUAUGAGUAGGGCAAGAUAUAUAUAGGAGGAAGGAACAGAUUUUACUGUCCUGAUUGAUGUAUUGGGAAAGCAGACAAGCUGUAGGCAUGAGGUCUUUAGGUAAACAGUAACAGGGAGACUCUGACCUCAAAAGUAAGUUAAUGGAUAGCAUAAACUCCACAGGGAUUGGAGACAGUACACAUUUCUAGGAGGUAUUUGAAUGGAUGUUUGUCAUAGGAAGUUUUUAACAGAGACAACAAAUUGGUGUUGGCUCACUUUUUGGCUUUUAAAGCUGUAAGGUGAAUGCAUUUUCCUGUAUCUGGAAAAUAUUUUCUAUUUUGAAAAUGUUCCUGUCUGAACUGCAGUAAAACUAGAAACUGCAGUAAGUUGAUGAG